AAGCGGAGGAGCAUGUGGUUUAAUUCGAUUGAUACGCGAGGAACCUUACCUGGGCUCGAACGUAAGAUGACUGUAGGUGAAAGCUUACAUCUCUUCGGAGCAUUUUACGAGGUGCUGCAUGGUUGUCGUCAGCUCGUGCCGUGAGGUGUCGGGUUAAGUCCCAUAACGAGCGCAACCCCUACCUUUAGUUGCCAUCAGGUUAAGCUGGGGACUCUAAAGGAACUGCCUACGCAAGUAGUGAGGAAGGCGGGGAUGACGUCAAAUCAGCACGGCCCUUACGUCCAGGGCUACACACGUGCUACAAUGGCCGAUACAGAGGGCAGCUACCUGGUGACAGGAUGCAAAUCUCCAAAGUCGGUCUCAGUUCGGAUCGGAGUCUGCAACCCGACUCCGUGAAGUUGGAUUCGCUAGUAAUCGCGCAUCAGCCAUGGCGCGGUGAAUACGUUCCCGGGCCUU
RNAcentral lists this ribosomal RNA (456 nucleotides) under uncultured Sphingobacteriales bacterium. RNAcentral's name for it is "bacterial SSU rRNA". It matches the Rfam family "Bacterial small subunit ribosomal RNA", at positions 927 to 1382 of the family's 1533-position model. The record is from RNAcentral. Lineage: Bacteria; Pseudomonadati; Bacteroidota; Sphingobacteriia; Sphingobacteriales.